This 419-nucleotide ribosomal RNA is filed under the name bacterium. RNAcentral describes it as "partial 16S ribosomal RNA". It matches the Rfam family "Bacterial small subunit ribosomal RNA", at positions 355 to 776 of the family's 1533-position model. The record is from RNAcentral.
UGGGGGAUAUUGCACAAUGGGCGAAAGCCUGAUGCAGCGACGCCGCGUGGGGGAUGAAGGCCUUCGGGUUGUAAACUUCUUUUGCUCUGAACAAGGCGCACCAUGGGGUGUGUUGAGUGUAGGGGUUGAUUAGCGCCGGCUAACUAGGUGCCAGCAGCCGCGGUAAUACGUAGGGCGCGAGCGUUGUCCGGAAUUAUUGGGCGUAAAGGGCUGGUAGGUGUCUGGUUGCGUCUGUCGUGACAGCUAAUGGCUUAACUGUGGGUUUGCGGUGGGUACGGGCUGGCUUGAGUGCAGUAGGGGAGGCUGGAAUUCCUGGUGUAGCGGUGGAAUGCGCAGAUAUCAGGAGGAAUACCGGUGGCGAAGGCGGGGCUCUGGGCUGUUACUGACACUGAGGAGCGAAAGCAUGGGGAGCGAACAGG